GGACCCGCACAAGCAGCGGAGCAUGUGGUUUAAUUCGAAGCAACGCGAAGAACCUUACCAGGGCUUGACAUGCCAAUGACCGGUAUAGAGAUAUACCCUUAUCUUCGGAUACAUUGGACACAGGUGGUGCAUGGUUGUCGUCAGCUCGUGUCGUGAGAUGUUGGGUUAAGUCCCGCAACGAGCGCAACCCCUGUUUUUAGUUGCCAUCAUUAAGUUGGGCACUCUAAAGAUACUGCCGAUGACAAAUCGGAGGAAGGUGGGGAUGACGUCAAAUCAUCAUGCCCUUUAUGUCCUGGGGCUACACACGUGCUACAAUGGUCGGUACAACGAGGAGCGAACUAGUGAUAGCAAGCGAAUCUCUAAAAGCCGAUCCCAGUUCGGAUUGUAGGCUGCAACUCGCCUACAUGAAGUCGGAGUUGCUAGUAAUCGCGGAUCAGAAUGUCGCGGUGAAUGCG
RNAcentral lists this ribosomal RNA (455 nucleotides) under uncultured bacterium. RNAcentral describes it as "bacterial SSU rRNA". It matches the Rfam family "Bacterial small subunit ribosomal RNA", at positions 917 to 1370 of the family's 1533-position model. The record is from RNAcentral.